This 153-nucleotide unclassified non-coding RNA is filed under the name Volvox capensis. RNAcentral describes it as "ITS1". The record is from RNAcentral. Lineage: Eukaryota; Viridiplantae; Chlorophyta; Chlorophyceae; Chlamydomonadales; Volvocaceae.
AAUCUAUCAACACUCCACAAUACUGUGCACAAACCAUGUUGGCCUCGCCUCACGUGCAGUGAGGUGUUGGUCUUUUGCCAACCAACCAACCCCUAACCGAAAACUACCAUAAUUAGAGGGCGUAGCUUAGAGCUGCACCCUCACGAACCAAGA